GUCGAACGAGAUUAGAGACUUCGGUUUCUAUGAAAGUGGCGCACGGGUGCGUAACACGUAUGCAACCUACCUUCAAUUGGGGGAUAGCCUUCCGAAAGGGAGAUUAAUACCGCAUAAGAUAUCAGAAUGGCAUCAUUUAGAUAUUAAAACUUUGGUGAUUGAAGAUGGGCAUGCGUUGCAUUAGCUAGUUGGUAAGGUAACGGCUUACCAAGGCUACGAUGCAUAGGGGAUCUGAGAGGAUGGUCCCCCACACUGGUACUGAGAUACGGACCAGACUCCUACGGGAGGCAGCAGUAAGGAAUAUUGGUCAAUGGACGGAAGUCUGAACCAGCCAUGCCGCGUGCAGGAAGACGGCCCUAUGGGUUGUAAACUGCUUUUGUCGGGGAAUAAACCUAGAUACGUGUAUUUAGUUGAAGGUACCCGAAGAAUAAGGAUCGGCUAACUCCGUGCCAGCAGCCGCGGUAAUACGGAGGAUCCAAGCGUUAUCCGGAUUUAUUGGGUUUAAAGGGUGCGUAGGCGGUAAAUUAAGUCAGAGGUGAAAGCCUGCAGCUCAACUGUAGAACUGCCUUUGAUACUGGUUUACUUGAGUACAGAUGAAGUGGGCGGAAUGUGACAAGUAGCGGUGAAAUGCAUAGAUAUGUCACAGAACACCGAUUGCGAAGGCAGCUCACUAAAGUGUAACUGACGCUGAGGCACGAAAGCGUGGGGAUCAAACAGGAUUAGA
RNAcentral lists this ribosomal RNA (724 nucleotides) under Solitalea canadensis. RNAcentral's name for it is "bacterial SSU rRNA". It matches the Rfam family "Bacterial small subunit ribosomal RNA", at positions 61 to 782 of the family's 1533-position model. The record is from RNAcentral. Lineage: Bacteria; Pseudomonadati; Bacteroidota; Sphingobacteriia; Sphingobacteriales; Sphingobacteriaceae.